RNAcentral lists this ribosomal RNA (750 nucleotides) under uncultured bacterium. RNAcentral describes it as "bacterial SSU rRNA". It matches the Rfam family "Bacterial small subunit ribosomal RNA", at positions 1 to 713 of the family's 1533-position model. The record is from RNAcentral.
CGAUUGAGUUUGAUCCUGGCUCAGGACGAACGCUGGCGGCGUGCCUAAUACAUGCAAGUCGAGCGAGCUUGCCUAGAUGAUUUUAGUGCUUGCACUAAAUGAAACUAGAUACAAGCGAGCGGCGGACGGGUGAGUAACACGUGGGUAACCUGCCCAAGAGACUGGGAUAACACCUGGAAACAGAUGCUAAUACCGGAUAACAACACUAGACGCAUGUCUAGAGUUUGAAAGAUGGUUCUGCUAUCACUCUUGGAUGGACCUGCGGUGCAUUAGCUAGUUGGUAAGGUAACGGCUUACCAAGGCAAUGAUGCAUAGCCGAGUUGAGGGACUGAUCGGCCACAUUGGGACUGAGACACGGCCCAAACUCCUACGGGAGGCAGCAGUAGGGAAUCUUCCACAAUGGACGAAAGUCUGAUGGAGCAACGCCGCGUGAGUGAAGAAGGGUUUCGGCUCGUAAAGCUCUGUUGGUAGUGAAGAAAGAUAGAGGUAGUAACUGGCCUUUAUUUGACGGUAAUUACUUAGAAAGUCACGGCUAACUACGUGCCAGCAGCCGCGGUAAUACGUAGGUGGCAAGCGUUGUCCGGAUUUAUUGGGCGUAAAGCGAGUGCANGCGGUUCAAUAAGUCUGAUGUGAAAGCCUUCGGCUCAACCGGAGAAUUGCAUCAGAAACUGUUGAACUUGAGUGCAGAAGAGGAGAGUGGAACUCCAUGUGUAGCGGUGGAAUGCGUANAUAUAUGGAAAGAACACAGUG